GACGAACGCUGGCGGCGUGCUUAACACAUGCAAGUCGAACGGAAAGGCCUGCUUUCCCUUGUGGAUUGCGGGUACUCGAGUGGCAACGGGGGAGGAACACGGGAGUGAUCUUCCCCCAAACUGGGUAUAAGCCUGGGAAAACGGGGCUAAUUUCCGAUAGGACUGCAGGGGGGUGCCUGUGGUGGAAAACGAUUUUUUAGUGGUUGGGGGUGAGCUUUCGGCCUAUCAGCUUGUUGGUGGGGUAAUGGCCUACCAAGGCGGCGACGGGUAGCCGGCCUGAGAGGGUGGACGGCCACAUUGGGACUGAGAUACGGCCCAGACUCCUACGGGAGGCAGCAGUGGGGAAUAUUGCACAAUGGGCGGAAGCCUGAUGCAGCGACGCCGCGUGGGGGAUGACGGCCUUCGGGUUGUAAACUCCUUUCGACCGCGAGGAAGCCACCUGGUUGGAAGGGUGGUGACGGUAGUGGUAGAAGAAGCACCGGCUAACUACGUG
RNAcentral lists this ribosomal RNA (493 nucleotides) under uncultured bacterium. Its description in RNAcentral is "partial 16S ribosomal RNA". It matches the Rfam family "Bacterial small subunit ribosomal RNA", at positions 28 to 507 of the family's 1533-position model. The record is from RNAcentral.